GACCUGGUGGUGGAGUUGGUACCACGCUUGCUUCCAGUAUUGUUGAAAUAUACUGGAUUUCUAGCGGGAGGCCCCCGUUCGAUCCGGAGUCAGGUCA
Non-coding RNA from Mycena vulgaris, 97 nucleotides. NCBI's taxonomy places the organism in Eukaryota, Fungi, Basidiomycota, Agaricomycetes, Agaricales, Mycenaceae. The record is from the annotation of a GenBank genome assembly.